GGUUAAGCGACUAAGCGUACACGGUGGAUGCCCUGGCAGUCAGAGGCGAUGAAGGACGUGCUAAUCUGCGAUAAGCGUCGGUAAGGUGAUAUGAACCGUUAUAACCGGCGAUUUCCGAAUGGGGAAACCCAGUGUGUUUCGACACACUAUCAUUAACUGAAUCCAUAGGUUAAUGAGGCGAACCGGGGGAACUGAAACAUCUAAGUACCCCGAGGAAAAGAAAUCAACCGAGAUUCCCCCAGUAGCGGCGAGCGAACGGGGAGCAGCCCAGAGCCUGAAUCAGUGUGUGUGUUAGUGGAAGCGUCUGGAAAGGCGCGCGAUACAGGGUGACAGCCCCGUACACAAAAAUGCACAUGCUGUGAGCUCGAUGAGUAGGGCGGGACACGUGGUAUCCUGUCUGAAUAUGGGGGGACCAUCCUCCAAGGCUAAAUACUCCUGACUGACCGAUAGUGAACCAGUACCGUGAGGGAAAGGCGAAAAGAACCCCGGCGAGGGGAGUGAAAAAGAACCUGAAACCGUGUACGUACAAGCAGUGGGAGCACGCUUAGGCGUGUGACUGCGUACCUUUUGUAUAAUGGGUCAGCGACUUAUAUUCUGUAGCAAGGUUAACCGAAUAGGGGAGCCGAAGGGAAACCGAGUCUUAACUGGGCGUUAAGUUGCAGGGUAUAGACCCGAAACCCGGUGAUCUAGCCAUGGGCAGGUUGAAGGUUGGGUAACACUAACUGGAGGACCGAACCGACUAAUGUUGAAAAAUUAGCGGAUGACUUGUGGCUGGGGGUGAAAGGCCAAUCAAACCGGGAGAUAGCUGGUUCUCCCCGAAAGCUAUUUAGGUAGCGCCUCGUGAAUUCAUCUCCGGGGGUAGAGCACUGUUUCGGCAAGGGGGUCAUCUCGACUUACCAACCUGAUGCAAACUGCGAAUACCGGAGAAUGUUAUCACGGGAGACACACGGCGGGUGCUAACGUCCGUCGUGAAGAGGGAAACAACCCAGACCGCCAGCUAAGGUCCCAAAGUCAUGGUUAAGUGGGAAACGAUGUGGGAAGGCCCAGACAGCCAGGAUGUUGGCUUAGAAGCAGCCAUCAUUUAAAGAAAGCGUAAUAGCUCACUGGUCGAGUCGGCCUGCGCGGAAGAUGUAACGGGGCUAAACCAUGCACCGAAGCUGCGGCAGCGACGCUGAUGCGUUGUUGGGUAGGGGAGCGUUCUGUAAGCCUGCGAAGGUGUGCUGUGAGGCAUGCUGGAGGUAUCAGAAGUGCGAAUGCUGACAUAAGUAACGAUAAAGCGGGUGAAAAGCCCGCUCGCCGGAAGACCAAGGGUUCCUGUCCAACGUUAAUCGGGGCAGGGUGAGUCGACCCCUAAGGCGAGGCCGAAAGGCGUAGUCGAUGGGAAACAGGUUAAUAUUCCUGUACUUGGUGUUACUGCGAAGGGGGGACGGAGAAGGCUAUGUUGGCCGGGCGACGGUUGUCCCGGUUUAAGCGUGUAGGCUGGUUUUCCAGGCAAAUCCGGAAAAUCAAGGCUGAGGCGUGAUGACGAGGCACUACGGUGCUGAAGCAACAAAUGCCCUGCUUCCAGGAAAAGCCUCUAAGCAUCAGGUAACAUCAAAUCGUACCCCAAACCGACACAGGUGGUCAGGUAGAGAAUACCAAGGCGCUUGAGAGAACUCGGGUGAAGGAACUAGGCAAAAUGGUGCCGUAACUUCGGGAGAAGGCACGCUGAUAUGUAGGUGAGGUCCCUCGCGGAUGGAGCUGAAAUCAGUCGAAGAUACCAGCUGGCUGCAACUGUUUAUUAAAAACACAGCACUGUGCAAACACGAAAGUGGACGUAUACGGUGUGACGCCUGCCCGGUGCCGGAAGGUUAAUUGAUGGGGUUAGCGCAAGCGAAGCUCUUGAUCGAAGCCCCGGUAAACGGCGGCCGUAACUAUAACGGUCCUAAGGUAGCGAAAUUCCUUGUCGGGUAAGUUCCGACCUGCACGAAUGGCGUAAUGAUGGCCAGGCUGUCUCCACCCGAGACUCAGUGAAAUUGAACUCGCUGUGAAGAUGCAGUGUACCCGCGGCAAGACGGAAAGACCCCGUGAACCUUUACUAUAGCUUGACACUGAACAUUGAGCCUUGAUGUGUAGGAUAGGUGGGAGGCUUAGAAGUGUGGACGCCAGUCUGCAUGGAGCCGACCUUGAAAUACCACCCUUUAAUGUUUGAUGUUCUAACGUUGACCCGUAAUCCGGGUUGCGGACAGUGUCUGGUGGGUAGUUUGACUGGGGCGGUCUCCUCCUAAAGAGUAACGGAGGAGCACGAAGGUUGGCUAAUCCUGGUCGGACAUCAGGAGGUUAGUGCAAUGGCAUAAGCCAGCUUGACUGCGAGCGUGACGGCGCGAGCAGGUGCGAAAGCAGGUCAUAGUGAUCCGGUGGUUCUGAAUGGAAGGGCCAUCGCUCAACGGAUAAAAGGUACUCCGGGGAUAACAGGCUGAUACCGCCCAAGAGUUCAUAUCGACGGCGGUGUUUGGCACCUCGAUGUCGGCUCAUCACAUCCUGGGGCUGAAGUAGGUCCCAAGGGUAUGGCUGUUCGCCAUUUAAAGUGGUACGCGAGCUGGGUUUAGAACGUCGUGAGACAGUUCGGUCCCUAUCUGCCGUGGGCGCUGGAGAACUGAGGGGGGCUGCUCCUAGUACGAGAGGACCGGAGUGGACGCAUCACUGGUGUUCGGGUUGUCAUGCCAAUGGCACUGCCCGGUAGCUAAAUGCGGAAGAGAUAAGUGCUGAAAGCAUCUAAGCACGAAACUUGCCCCGAGAUGAGUUCUCCCUGACCCUUUAAGGGUCCUGAAGGAACGUUGAAGACGACGACGUUGAUAGGCCGGGUGUGUAAGCGCAGCGAUGCGUUGAGCUAACCGGUACUAAUGAACCGUGAGGCUUAACCUU
This 2904-nucleotide ribosomal RNA is filed under the name Escherichia coli. RNAcentral's name for it is "23S ribosomal RNA". It matches the Rfam family "Bacterial large subunit ribosomal RNA". Lineage: Bacteria; Pseudomonadati; Pseudomonadota; Gammaproteobacteria; Enterobacterales; Enterobacteriaceae. The record is from RNAcentral.